This is a long non-coding RNA of Mauremys reevesii (Reeves's turtle), 781 nucleotides long. RefSeq lists it as uncharacterized. The transcript has 4 exons. NCBI's taxonomy places the organism in Eukaryota, Metazoa, Chordata, Testudines, Geoemydidae. The record is from RefSeq and is a predicted model, not a curated record.
CAACUCAGCCGGGAACGGCGCCGACUCCCACCCGCCCAGUCAGCGUGGGGCCAGGUACCAGGACUGGGGGCAGGAAAUCGCCAUCAGCACCCCCAGAAACAGGGGGAACUGACCCAACUCAGCUGGGAACGGCGCCGGCUCCCACCCGCCCAGUCAGCGUGGGGCCAGGUACCAGGACUGGGGGCAGGAAAUCGCCAUCAGCACCCCCAGAAACAGAUUACACCCAUGGCAACAUCAUCCGUCUGGCCCUGGGCGCCGGGGUCCUGCUGGCUCUGGCGCUGAUCCUGGCCAAGGCUGCCCCAGGAUGGAGAUGGGGCAGAUGCUAGCUCAUCCCCGGACUCCCCAGCGCUGCAGCCCGUCUCGACGCGUCUAAAGGACUUUCACCCUGCGAGGUUGGAGCUGGCCGGCCUGGCUCUUGCUUAAGGACCUUCGUUUUCCCCUCUGCGAGCUGGAAGUCGUCCCGUUGCCGUGCCCUGCAGCCCCCAGCCCCCAGCGCGGAUAGCUGAUUAGCAGCGCCCCAAAGGCCCUGGAGAUCCUUUCCCCUUCCCUGGUUGUGCUGUUUUCCUCCGGGCUGUGUCUUUCCUCCUCUCCGAGCUCACGCUCCUGGCUUUCCAUCGGAUGCUGCAGUCGGGUGUAUGGCACCCUCCCACCUGCCCUGCCUAAGGGGACCAGACCCAAUGCGGGGCCAUCCCUGCCUGGAUUGUCACCAUCCACGGUCCGAGCAGCUGGGGUCGGGGUCGCCUUGCAGCCAAUGCAGCCGCUUGUCACUAACCCGCGUCCA